Pelobates cultripes (western spadefoot toad) is the source of this 222-nucleotide non-coding RNA. The record is from the annotation of a GenBank genome assembly. Lineage: Eukaryota; Metazoa; Chordata; Amphibia; Anura; Pelobatidae.
CCGCCAUAUCAGCUGGACAUGACCAGGUGGACGGGCUCCCACUUGGACAGAACCCUCUAAUCUGUCGCCUGCUCAAGGGAGUCCGCUUCUCACGUCCCCCUACAUCCAGAUAUGGAUCCUUCUGGGACGUCAAAUGUGUGUUCAGACUCCUAGAUGACUGGCCCUCAAACAUAAAGCUGUCCUUUAAACAACUAUCGGCAAAGCUACUUAUGCUGUUCUGCC